GUGAGGAAUAUUGCGCAAUGGAGGCAACUCUGACGCAGCCAUGCCGCGUGCAGGAAGAAGGCGCUACGCGUUGUAAACUGCUUUUAACCGGGAAGAAACCCCAGGACGUGUCCUGGGUUGACGGUACCGGAGGAAUAAGCACCGGCUAACUUCGUGCCAGCAGCCGCGGUAAUACGAAGGGUGCAAGCGUUAUCCGGAUUCAUUGGGUUUAAAGGGUGCGUAGGAGGAGCGUUAAGUCAGUGGUGAAAUCCUGCAGCUUAACUGUAGACUUGCCAUUGAUACUGGCGCUCUUGAGUGCGCUUGAAGUGGGCGGAAUGUGCCGUGUAGCGGUGAAAUGCUUAGAUAUGGCACAGAACACCAAUUGCGAAGGCAGCUCACUAAGGCGAUACUGACGCUGAGGCACGAAAGCGUGGGGAUCGAACAGGAUUAGAAACCCGGGUAGUCC
RNAcentral lists this ribosomal RNA (445 nucleotides) under uncultured bacterium. Its description in RNAcentral is "partial 16S ribosomal RNA". It matches the Rfam family "Bacterial small subunit ribosomal RNA", at positions 354 to 796 of the family's 1533-position model. The record is from RNAcentral.